GACGAACGCUGGCGGCGUGCUUAACACAUGCAAGUCGAACGGAAAGGUCCUGCCUUUGUGGGGUGCUCGAGUGGCGAACGGGUGAGUAACACGUGAGUAACCUGUCCUUGACUUUGGGAUAACUUCAGGCAACUGGGGCUAAUACCGGAUAGGAGCUCCUGCUGCAGGGUGGGGGUUGGAAAGUUUCGGCGGUUGGGGAUGGACUCGCGGCCUAUCAGCUUGUUGGUGGGGUAGUGGCUUACCAAGGCUUUGACGGAUAGCCGGCCUGAGAGGGUGACCGGCCACACUCAGACGGAGUGACGGCCCAGACAGAUACGGGCGGCAGGAGUGGGGAAGAAUGAACAAAGGGCGGAAGCAUGAUGGAGCAACGAAGGGUGCGGGAGGAAGGCAGUCGGGUGGUAAGCAGAGUUCGCUUGUGACGGAGCGUAAGGAAAGGUACUGGGGAAAGAGACACGGGUUACCUCGGU
Molecule: ribosomal RNA, 467 nt
Filed under: uncultured bacterium
Lineage: Bacteria
Description: partial 16S ribosomal RNA
Rfam family: Bacterial small subunit ribosomal RNA
Source: RNAcentral